GGAUAUUUACCUACCAUUGACCCUAAACAUGUAACGUUAAAUCCAUCCUGUCGUCGACAAAGAAGGUCGUUACUGCACAUCUCAGGAUAUCAUGCCUAGUGGCAAAUGGUGCAGCAUCUGUUUGAAAUGAGGUGCUGCAGCAUUUGCUGAUUGAUGAGGGGGAGCAAUUGGACUCAUCCAUCAUGACUUGGCCAGGUUAGGUAUCUUUCACUCACUCACCCUCUUUCGUUCUCUCUC
Pimephales promelas (fathead minnow) is the source of this 237-nucleotide non-coding RNA. NCBI's taxonomy places the organism in Eukaryota, Metazoa, Chordata, Actinopteri, Cypriniformes, Leuciscidae. The record is from RefSeq and is a predicted model, not a curated record.